RNAcentral lists this ribosomal RNA (1317 nucleotides) under uncultured bacterium. RNAcentral describes it as "bacterial SSU rRNA". It matches the Rfam family "Bacterial small subunit ribosomal RNA", at positions 43 to 1395 of the family's 1533-position model. The record is from RNAcentral.
CAGGCCUAACACAUGCAAGUCGAGCGGGCGUACGAAUACGUCAGCGGCAGACGGGUGAGUAACGCGUGGGAACAUACCUUUUGGUUCGGAACAACACAGGGAAACUUGUGCUAAUACCGGAUAAGCCCUUACGGGGAAAGAUUUAUCGCCGAAAGAUUGGCCCGCGUCUGAUUAGCUUGUUGGUGAGGUAACGGCUCACCAAGGCGACGAUCAGUAGCUGGUCUGAGAGGAUGAUCAGCCACAUUGGGACUGAGACACGGCCCAAACUCCUACGGGAGGCAGCAGUGGGGAAUAUUGGACAAUGGGCGAAACGUCAGAUCCAGCCAUGCCGCGUGAGUGAUGAAGGCCCUAGGGUUGUAAAGCUCUUUUGUCCGGGAAGAUAAUGACUGUACCGGAAGAAUAAGCCCCGGCUAACUUCGUGCCAGCAGCCGCGGUAAUACGAAGGGGGCUAGCGUUGCUCGGAAUCACUGGGCGUAAAGGGUGCGUAGGUGGAUUUUUAAGUCAGAGGUGAAAUCCUGGAGCUCAACUCCAGAACUGCCUUUGAUACUGAGAGUCUUGAGUUCGGGAGAGGUGAGUGGAACUGCGAGUGUAGAGGUGAAAUUCGUAGAUAUUCGCAAGAACACCAGUGGCGAAGGCGGGCUCACUGGCCCGAUACUGACACUGAGGCACGAAAGCGUGGGGAGCAAACAAGAUUAGAUACCACUGGUAGUCCACGCCGUAAACGAUGAAUGCCAGCCGUUGGGGAGUUUACUCUUCAGUGGCGCCAGUAAACGCUUUAAGCAUUCCGCCUGGGGAGUACUAGGUCGCAAGAUUAAAACUCAAAGGAAUUGACGGGGGCCCGCACAAGCGCUGGGAGCAUGUGGUUUAAUUCGACGCAGCGCGCAGAACCUUACCAGCCCUUGACAUCCCGGUCGCGGUUUCCAGAGAUGGAUUCCUUCAGUUCGGCUGGACCGGUGACUAGGGUGCUGCAUGGCUGUCGUCAGCUCGUGUCGUGAGAUGUUGGGUUAAGUCCCGCAACGAGCGCAACCCCCGUCCUUAGUUGCUACCAUUUAGUUGAGCACUCUAAGGAGACUGCCGGUGAUAAGCCGCGAGGAAGGUGGGGAUGACGUCAAGUCCUCAUCGUUACGGGCUGGGCUACACACGUGCUACAAUGGCGGUGACAAUGUGGACGCUAAGGAGCAAUCCUUCGCAAAUCUCAAAAAGCCGUCUCAGUUCGGAUUGGAGCUCUGCAACUCGAGCCCAUGAAGUUGGAAUCGCUAGUAAUCGUGGAUCAGCAUGCCACGGUGAAUACGUUCCCGGGACUUGUACACACCGCCC